Long non-coding RNA from Myxocyprinus asiaticus (Chinese sucker), 562 nucleotides. RefSeq lists it as uncharacterized. The record is from RefSeq and is a predicted model, not a curated record. The transcript has 3 exons. Lineage: Eukaryota; Metazoa; Chordata; Actinopteri; Cypriniformes; Catostomidae.
CAAAGCCUGUGCGUACAAAGAAACAUCCAGGAAAGAGGCUGAGGUGAAGCCAGCAUGUGUAAGAGUCUUGAGUUUCUAAUAAUAUGAAGUUGCGGAGGAAUUAGUCUGGAGUCCCGCAUUCCAGCACUUGCAUUUCAGAUGCGGGCGAAGAAUUCAUCAAUGUUUACAUGAAACCUACACUACUGCUUAAAUGGAGAUCAGCAGUUACAGAAAUACUCAAACCAGCCCAUCUGGCACCAACAAUGAUGCACGGUUGAAAUCACUGAGAUCAAAUUUUUUCCCCCAUUCUGAUGGUUGAUGUGAACAUUAACUGAAGCUCCUGACCCAUAUCUGCAUGAUAUUAUGCAUUGCACUCCUACAACACGAUUUAAUUAACAACUACUUGUUAACUCAGAUAUAGAAUGCGGUUCUCACUCCCGUAAUUUCUGAACUGUGUGUGUACAGAACAGGAUUAAGCACUCAAAGUUGAAUAGACAACCAUAUUUAUCCUGCAGUGUGUAAGUGGCCAGAGAGACUCCUUACAAGACAAUGUGCAAUGCUCUUGUGUAGACUAGUGUAAAAC